Molecule: long non-coding RNA, 822 nt
Filed under: Theobroma cacao (cacao)
Lineage: Eukaryota; Viridiplantae; Streptophyta; Magnoliopsida; Malvales; Malvaceae
Description: long non-coding RNA (TCAC_LNC000099)
Source: RNAcentral
UUUUCUAUAUGGAAUUAUACAAAAAUUGAUAAUAAUUAACAUUAUUUCAAAGUAAAUUUUGAGACUGAAAGAAAUAACUUAUGUAACAAGUUGUCAUGGUUAGAACUAAGACAGUGCAAACGGUUGGUUUGGCCGAUUAGAAGAGGAGUAGCGUGGCAAAGCCAGAGAAGAGACUUCAGUUUUCCAACAUAAUCCGCAGUUGAUGAACCUGACCUUGAAUUUGUUCUACAUUUGCUUCUCCCUCAAUCAUUUAAUUUUACCUCUGCAUACAGUAAUUCUCUAACUAUGAAUCAGUAAAAUGUUUACAUGCAGCUAAAGUCAAUUUUCACAACUCAUCACCUGAUCGAAACUAAUUAAUUCUACAAUGCUUAACAUGGAUAUAUAUAUAUCUAUAUAUAUAUAUAUAUAUAUAUAUAUAUACUACAUGUACUCUCUCAUUCUUUACUCGAAACCAUCACAGGGCUUCAAAUAGAAGAAAAGGAAUUCCAAAUAUCCAUUAAAUUGUUUAUAAGAACAAAUGUUCAUGACAUAAGUAGUAAAUAAAGUAAAAUGAAAAAGUCUUUACCCCGAAAACUAAUUGAAGAACUGAAGGAAGUACCAAAGGCAGAAGAUUUGGGAUUUCGAAAUUUGGGUUUCAAAUUUGAGGGUUUAGCCUUUUAGGUUUCAGAUAGGGAAAUGGAAAAAAACACUACAAAGCAUUGAAGGAAGAAUCGAAGGUAGAACUGCAAUGGCGGCUCACGGUUGUUGGAGGAAGAAUCGAAGAAGGGAAGGAGGUCUAGACUCUAGACUCUAGUGUCGACCGCGAAGAAUCGAAGAAUAGAA